AAGAUCAUACUUCUCAGGAUCAUUUCUGUAGGAGUUGUUCUUACACCUCUUCCCUAACACGGAAGUAGAUUCAACCACGAUGAGGAGCAAAAGCUUUUUUUCCUGAGCGUGAGGACGACCGGCACUUCGUACGCGUUUACGAGAGUCCAGUCAUCGAUGAUCGUUCAACCCUUUAUAUUAUUUAUAAAGGGCAGGGAAAAGAAGCAUUCUGAGUGGU
Harpegnathos saltator (Jerdon's jumping ant) is the source of this 217-nucleotide non-coding RNA. The record is from Rfam. NCBI's taxonomy places the organism in Eukaryota, Metazoa, Arthropoda, Insecta, Hymenoptera, Formicidae.